GUGAAGUCGACGAUGGUCGGUGGCUGGUUUUGAAGCAGAACGGGCGAUUCGGGAUGAACCGGAAAGCGGGGAGAAAGGGCCCGAGAUUGCGUCGACGCGGAUACCCGAAAAGGGCGUCGAUCCGUCGCGACAGCGGGACGGUGGUCAUGGAAGUCGAAAUCCGCUAAGAAGCGUGUAAAAACGUACCCGCCCAACGGAUCGGCCCCGAAAAUUGAUGGCGCUCGAACGCAACCCUCGAACCCCGCCGACGGAGGCUAGGGGAGGCCCCGUCGAGUAGGCGGACGCGCGGGUCGCUUCGACGCUCCCCGCGCGAGCGGGGGCGGAGCGGCCCGUGGUGCAGAUCUUGGUGGUAGUAGCGAUCACCCAGGCGAGAACCCUGAGGGCCGAAGUGGAGAAGGGUUUCUCGAGAACGGCACUCGCUCGAGAGUUAGUCGAUCCUAAGCUGCCG
Molecule: ribosomal RNA, 448 nt
Filed under: uncultured eukaryote
Lineage: Eukaryota
Description: eukaryotic LSU rRNA
Rfam family: Eukaryotic large subunit ribosomal RNA
Source: RNAcentral